This is a non-coding RNA of Jatropha curcas, 1364 nucleotides long. Lineage: Eukaryota; Viridiplantae; Streptophyta; Magnoliopsida; Malpighiales; Euphorbiaceae. The record is from RefSeq and is a predicted model, not a curated record.
CCGUACAGGUGCGUGCACGUUGUCUGACAUCAGAAGCUUCUUUUCCUCGAAAGGCAGAUCAAAAAAGUCCAUUGCAGCGUCCAGAGCAUCUUUCAUCACAGGAAGAGGGAUUCCAUGAUUUAUCACCUGAAAACAUUUCGUAUCUCAUUUAUAACAUGAGACCUGAGAGAAGGAUGGUGUAACAAGGAUAGGUCAACAAUGGGAAGGGUCAUUGAUGGGCUCAGACCAGGGUUUGGCCUAUCCCACGGGGGAAGAAUGUAAUAUUCAGGCACAUUAGCUGCACCUGACUUGAUAAAUGAAGCUUAUUGCAGGAUGAGCUCAGGGCGAUUAGCUGGAAGUGAAACCAUAUCAACAUGCAAUGGGUUUCCAAGUCAAGACUCAAAACCAGCAUAUGGUUUUCUUGGAUGACAUCACCACCUCCACAGAAGUUCGUGCUUUAAAGGUUUUGUCAUCUUGCGAGAAACUCCGGUGAUGGAAAAUGGAUGAUCUCCUUUUUCCUUCACACACCAUUGCUCUGCUCUUUCCUUGUUAACCGCCAUGCCAAGGAUCCUGACAUCUGUUAUUAAACUUUGGUGCCUAUACCAACCGACGCAAUUUUUUUGGAUGAUUGGCAACCGAAGAUUCAUCUCCAGUGUUUUCUAAUAUCCACUUGCCCAAUAGAGUCGUUCAGUAAAGGAAAAUAAUUAUUGGGCAUAAAAAUUGGUUAAGAAAAUUUCUGCGCUUUAUAAGAAACUAAAAAUUGCAUGAUAAUGAUGAUGAUAAAUGGAAAAAUAUCAAGAGGUUGUCAAUAAAUGAUGAGGUGUAUCCCUUUAAAAAAAUAAUAAUAAUUUAUUGUAGGCUGUUAUACUUAUAUGGAUCAGAUAGGAUUUGAGAACAUUGAACCUAGGUCUAAGUGCUUGAAGCAUUACUAUACUUGUUCAGUUUGCUGCGAUUUUCUGUGCACUGGGAUUGGCUAGAAUAGCUUCAUUCCAGAUUCAGAAUGUAAAGGUAAAGUCACCUUAAUACCAGACAGGGCAACAAGAAAAAAAGUUCAUCGCACUGGUGUCAAAAUUUUUUCUGCGUAACUAUUCUACCGUUGACUAUGAAAACAAACCCGUUCAAGUUCAAUGUUUAUUUAGCCAUGAUAGCUACCAGCCUGGCCCCGCGAUUGUGAUAACGGUAGUAAUAUAUGUAGUUUGGCCAUGAUUCUUUACACACACAGGACAACAGAAGGAGAUUAAUUUUACGUUUUCAAAAGCUAGCUAGAACUAGGUGUUGAUUGAUAGGCUUGAUACAUGAAUCUUACCUCGAAUCUUUUUGGUUUUCUGAACUUAGGUCUAAUCGUUAGCAUGCACGUUUAUAUUUCAUUAGCGAUGUACAUAGUU